GCUCAUUUAUCCUCAGUCAGUAGAUCAUGAGGCGCUUAAUCUCAGCGUCGUGGGUUCGAGCCCCACGUUGGGCA
Non-coding RNA from Podarcis lilfordi (Lilford's wall lizard), 74 nucleotides. The record is from the annotation of a GenBank genome assembly. Lineage: Eukaryota; Metazoa; Chordata; Lepidosauria; Squamata; Lacertidae.